This 406-nucleotide ribosomal RNA is filed under the name uncultured bacterium. Its description in RNAcentral is "partial 16S ribosomal RNA". It matches the Rfam family "Bacterial small subunit ribosomal RNA", at positions 29 to 526 of the family's 1533-position model. The record is from RNAcentral.
AUUGAACGCUGGCGGCAGGCCUAACACAUGCAAGUCGAACGAGUGGCGGACGGGUGAGUAAUGUCUGGGAAACUGCCUGACGGAGGGGGAUAACUACUGGAAACGGUAGCUAAUACCGCAUACCACCAUAUGGGGCAAGAUGGGAUUAGCUAGUUGUGGGGGUAACGGCUCACCAAGGCGAAGAGCCCUAGCUGGUCUGAGAGGAUGACCGGCCACACUGGGACUGAGACACGGUCCAGACUCCUACGGGAGGCAGCAGUGGGGAAUAUUGCACAAUGGGCGCAAGCCUGAUGCAGCCAUGCCGCGUGAAUGAAGAAGGCCUUCGGGUUGUAAAGUACUUUCGGCGGGGAGGCGUUACCCGCAGAAGAAGCACCGGCUAACUCCGUGCCAGCAGCCGCGGUAAUUC